This 467-nucleotide ribosomal RNA is filed under the name uncultured bacterium. RNAcentral's name for it is "bacterial SSU rRNA". It matches the Rfam family "Bacterial small subunit ribosomal RNA", at positions 14 to 472 of the family's 1533-position model. The record is from RNAcentral.
UGAUCAUGGCUCAGGACGAACGCUGGCGGCGUGCUUAACACAUGCAAGUCUACGAGAAAGAGGUAGCAAUAUCUUGAUUAAAGUGGCGCACGGGUGAGUAACACGUAAGCAAUCUACCUGUUGAUUUGGAAUAACUUCGAGAAAUCGAGGCUAAUACCGUAUAAUGCAGCGGCACCGCAUGGUGAUGUUGUUAAAGUUGCAGCAAUGUAACGUCAAUAGAUGAGCUUGCGUCUGAUUAGCUAGUUGGUGAGGUAACGGCUCACCAAGGCUACGAUCAGUAGCUGGUCUGAGAGGAUGAUCAGCCACACUGGAACUGAGACACGGUCCAGACUCCUACGGGAGGCAGCAGUGAGGAAUAUUGGGCAAUGCCCGCAAGGGUGACCCAGCAACGCCGCGUGGAGGAUGAAGGUCGUAAGAUUGUAAACUCCUGUUAGAGGGGACGAAUAGCUGUGAUUCGUAAGGAUCAU